GACACUUUGGCCGAGUGGUUAAGGCGAUGCCCUGCUAAGGCAUUAUUCUCUGAAUGCGCAGGUUCGAAUCCUGCAGGUGUCG
Molecule: transfer RNA, 82 nt
Filed under: Coemansia sp. RSA 1646
Lineage: Eukaryota; Fungi; Kickxellomycota; Kickxellomycetes; Kickxellales; Kickxellaceae
Also listed under: 4 other names
Description: tRNA-Ser
Rfam family: tRNA
About the family: Transfer RNA (tRNA) molecules are approximately 80 nucleotides in length. Their secondary structure includes four short double-helical elements and three loops (D, anti-codon, and T loops).
Source: RNAcentral